GAUGAAGAACGCAGCGAAAUGCGAUACUUGGUGUGAAUUGCAGAAUCCCGUGAACCAUCGAGUCUUUGAACGCAGGUUGCGCCUCAAGCCAUUAGGUUGAGGGCACGUCUGCCUGGGCGUCACAUAUCGUUGCCUGAUGCCAGUUUCCUCGUGAUGGGUGACUGUGCAGGGCGAAUGAUGGCUUCCCGUGAGCAUUGUUGCCUCAUGGUUGGUUGAAAAUUGAGUCCUUGGUAGGGAGCGCCGUGAUAGAUGGUGGUUGAGUGACGAACGAGACCCAAUCAUGUGAGACCCCUACCGAAUUUGGCCUUCAUGACCCACAUGCGUCUUUGGAACGCUCAUGACGAGACCUCAGGUCAGGCGGGGCUACCCGCUGAGUUUAAGCAUAUCAAUAAGCGGAGGA
RNAcentral lists this unclassified non-coding RNA (400 nucleotides) under soil metagenome. RNAcentral's name for it is "partial contains 5.8S ribosomal RNA, internal transcribed spacer 2, and large subunit ribosomal RNA". The stretch from base 1 to 122 matches the Rfam family "5.8S ribosomal RNA", at positions 35 to 154 of the family's 154-position model. The record is from RNAcentral.